This 494-nucleotide ribosomal RNA is filed under the name uncultured bacterium. RNAcentral describes it as "partial 16S ribosomal RNA". It matches the Rfam family "Bacterial small subunit ribosomal RNA", at positions 28 to 507 of the family's 1533-position model. The record is from RNAcentral.
GACGAACGCUGGCGGCGUGCUUAACACAUGCAAGUCGAACGGAAAGGCCUGCUUUCCCUUGUGGAUUGCGGGUACUCGAGUGGCGAACGGGUGAGUAACACGUGAGUGAUCUGCCCCCAACUUGGGUAUAAGCCUGGGAAACUGGGUCUAAUUCCCGAUAGGACUGCAGGGUGGUGCCUGUGGUGGAAAACGAUUUUCUAGUGGUUGGGGAUGAGCUCGCGGCCUAUCAGCUUGUUGGUGGGGUAAUGGCCUACCAAGGCGGCGACGGGUAGCCGGCCUGAGAGGGUGGACCGCCACAUUGGGACUGAGAAACGGCCCAGACUCCUACGGGAGGCAGCAGUGGGGAAUAUUGGACAAUGGGCGGAAGCCUGAUGCAGCGACGCAGCGUGGGGGAUGACGGCCUUCGGGUUGUAAACUCCUUUCGACCGCGAGGAAGCCACCUGGUUGGAAGGGUGGUGACGGUAGUGGUAGAAGAAGCACCGGCUAACUACGUG